RNAcentral lists this ribosomal RNA (427 nucleotides) under uncultured bacterium. Its description in RNAcentral is "partial 16S ribosomal RNA". It matches the Rfam family "Bacterial small subunit ribosomal RNA", at positions 355 to 774 of the family's 1533-position model. The record is from RNAcentral.
UAGGGAAUCUUCCGCAAUGGGCGAAAGCCUGACGGAGCAACGCCGCGUGAGUGAUGAAGGUCUUCGGAUCGUAAAACUCUGUUAUCAGGGAAGAACAAAUGUGUAAGUAACUGUGCACAUCUUGACGGUACCUGAUCAGAAAGCCACGGCUAACUACGUGCCAGCAGCCGCGGUAAUACGUAGGUGGCAAGCGUUAUCCGGAAUUAUUGGGCGUAAAGCGCGCGUAGGCGGUUUUUUAAGUCUGAUGUGAAAGCCCACGGCUCAACCGUGGAGGGUCAUUGGAAACUGGAAAACUUGAGUGCAGAAGGGGAAAGUGGAAUUCCAUGUGUAGCGGUGAAAUGCGCAGAGAUAUGGAGGAACACCAGUGGCGAAGGCGACUUUCUGGUCUGUAACUGACGCUGAUGUGCGAAAGCGUGGGGAUCAAACA